RNAcentral lists this ribosomal RNA (309 nucleotides) under uncultured bacterium. RNAcentral's name for it is "bacterial SSU rRNA". It matches the Rfam family "Bacterial small subunit ribosomal RNA", at positions 29 to 327 of the family's 1533-position model. The record is from RNAcentral.
AGCGAACGCUGGCGGUAUGCUUAACACAUGCAAGUCGAGCGCGAAAGUGACUUCGGUCAUGAGUAGAGCGGCGGACGGGUGAGUAACACGUGGAUAAUCUGCCUUUAGGACUGGGAUAACCCUGGGAAACUAGGGCUAAUACCGGAUAAGACCACAGGUUCCAUGGAACCAGGGGUAAAAGGCGGCCUUCGGGCUGUCGCCGAAAGAUGAGUCCGCGUCCCAUCAGGUAGUUGGUGAGGUAACGGCUCACCAAGCCGAAGACGGGUAGCCGACCUUAGCGGGUGAUCGGCCACACGGGGACUGAGACAC